This 21-nucleotide microRNA is filed under the name Brachypodium distachyon (stiff brome). Its description in RNAcentral is "bdi-miR5057". Lineage: Eukaryota; Viridiplantae; Streptophyta; Magnoliopsida; Poales; Poaceae. The record is from miRBase by way of RNAcentral.
AAAUUUCAAAUCAUUUUGACA